This 429-nucleotide ribosomal RNA is filed under the name uncultured bacterium. Its description in RNAcentral is "bacterial SSU rRNA". It matches the Rfam family "Bacterial small subunit ribosomal RNA", at positions 355 to 776 of the family's 1533-position model. The record is from RNAcentral. RNAcentral also lists the same sequence under 1 other name.
UAGGGAAUCUUCCACAAUGGGCGCAAGCCUGAUGGAGCAACACCGCGUGAGUGAAGAAGGGUUUCGGCUCGUAAAACUCUGUUGUUGAAGAAGAACGUGCGUGAGAGUAACUGUUCACGCAGUGACGGUAUUCAACCAGAAAGUCACGGCUAACUACGUGCCAGCAGCCGCGGUAAUACGUAGGUGGCAAGCGUUAUCCGGAUUUAUUGGGCGUAAAGCGAGCGCAGGCGGUUUUCUAAGUCUGAUGUGAAAGCCUUCGGCUUAACCGGAGAAGUGCAUCGGAAACUGGAUAACUUGAGUGCAAGAGAGGACAGUGGAACUCCAUGUGUAGCGGUGGAAUGCGUAGAUAUAUGGAAGAACACCAGUGGCGAAGGCGGCUGUCUAGCUUGCAACUGACGCUGAGGCUCGAAAGCAUGGGUAGCGAACAGG